Molecule: ribosomal RNA, 465 nt
Filed under: Klebsiella pneumoniae
Lineage: Bacteria; Pseudomonadati; Pseudomonadota; Gammaproteobacteria; Enterobacterales; Enterobacteriaceae
Description: bacterial SSU rRNA
Rfam family: Bacterial small subunit ribosomal RNA
Source: RNAcentral
CGUCAAGUCAUCAUGGCCCUUACGACCAGGGCUACACACGUGCUACAAUGGCAUAUACAAAGAGAAGCGACCUCGCGAGAGCAAGCGGACCUCAUAAAGUAUGUCGUAGUCCGGAUUGGAGUCUGCAACUCGACUCCAUGAAGUCGGAAUCGCUAGUAAUCGUAGAUCAGAAUGCUACGGUGAAUACGUUCCCGGGCCUUGUACACACCGCCCGUCACACCAUGGGAGUCAACUCGACUCCAUGAAGUCGGAAUCGCUAGUAAUCGUAGAUCAGAAUGCUACGGUGAAUACGUUCCCGGGCCUUGUACACACCGCCCGUCACACCAUGGGAGUGGGUUGCAAAAGAAGUAGGUAGCUUAACCUUCGGGAGGGCGCUUACCACUUUGUGAUUCAUGACUGGGGUGAAGUCGUAACAAGGUAACCGUAGGGGAACCUGCGGUUGGAUCACCUCCUUACCUUAAAGAA